GGGAGCGGAUUGGGUCUGGUGGCCUGACCAGUCUUCAAAACUGUUUGGCCCCCUAACGGGGCUCGGUAGGUUCGAUUCCUACACGCUCCC
Acidobacteria bacterium 13_1_40CM_3_65_5 is the source of this 90-nucleotide non-coding RNA. The record is from Rfam. NCBI's taxonomy places the organism in Bacteria, Pseudomonadati, Acidobacteriota.